RNAcentral lists this ribosomal RNA (253 nucleotides) under uncultured bacterium. RNAcentral's name for it is "partial 16S ribosomal RNA". It matches the Rfam family "Bacterial small subunit ribosomal RNA", at positions 524 to 776 of the family's 1533-position model. The record is from RNAcentral.
UACAGAGGUCUCAAGCGUUGUUCGGAUUCAUUGGGCGUAAAGCGCGUGUAGGCGGUCCGGUAAGUCGGCUGUGAAAGUCCAGGGCUCAACCCUGGAAGGCCGGUGGAAACUGUCGGGCUAGAGUCCGGAAGAGGAGAAUGGAAUUCCUGGUGUAGCGGUGAAAUGCGCAGAUAUCAGGAAGAACACCCGUGGCGAAGGCGGUUCUCUGGGACGGUACUGACGCUGAGACGCGAAAGCGUGGGGAGCGAACAGG